RNAcentral lists this ribosomal RNA (998 nucleotides) under Salmonella enterica subsp. enterica serovar Dublin. RNAcentral describes it as "partial 23S ribosomal RNA". It matches the Rfam family "Bacterial large subunit ribosomal RNA", at positions 347 to 1224 of the family's 2925-position model. Lineage: Bacteria; Pseudomonadati; Pseudomonadota; Gammaproteobacteria; Enterobacterales; Enterobacteriaceae. The record is from RNAcentral.
AAGGCGCGCGAUACAGGGUGACAGCCCCGUACACAAAAGCGUAUGUGCUGUGAGCUCGAUGAGUAGGGCGGGACACGUGGUAUCCUGUCUGAAUAUGGGGGGACCAUCCUCCAAGGCUAAAUACUCCUGACUGACCGAUAGUGAACCAGUACCGUGAGGGAAAGGCGAAAAGAACCCCGGCGAGGGGAGUGAAAAAGAACCUGAAACCGUGUACGUACAAGCAGUGGGAGCCCCACCACUAAGCCAGUGGUGAACUCCACAUACGCAUCCUUUGCUGAGGAUACGGUUAACGGAGCGAAAGCGACGUUCAACCGCAAAAGAAGCAGAGGGGGCUUAGUGGUGGGGUGACUGCGUACCUUUUGUAUAAUGGGUCAGCGACUUAUAUUCUGUAGCAAGGUUAACCGAAUAGGGGAGCCGGAGGGAAACCGAGUCUUAACCGGGCGUUAAGUUGCAGGGUAUAGACCCGAAACCCGGUGAUCUAGCCAUGGGCAGGUUGAAGGUUGGGUAACACUAACUGGAGGACCGAACCGACUAAUGUUGAAAAAUUAGCGGAUGACCUGUGGCUGGGGGUGAAAGGCCAAUCAAACCGGGAGAUAGCUGGUUCUCCCCGAAAGCUAUUUAGGUAGCGCCUCGUGAAUUCAUCUCCGGGGGUAGAGCACUGUUUCGGCUAGGGGGCCAUCCCGGCUUACCAACCCGAUGCAAACUGCGAAUACCGGAGAAUGUUAUCACGGGAGACACACGGCGGGUGCUAACGUCCGUCGUGAAGAGGGAAACAACCCAGACCGCCAGCUAAGGUCCCAAAGUCAUGGUUAAGUGGGAAACGAUGUGGGAAGGCCCAGACAGCCAGGAUGUUGGCUUAGAAGCAGCCAUCAUUUAAAGAAAGCGUAAUAGCUCACUGGUCGAGUCGGCCUGCGCGGAAGAUGUAACGGGGCUAAACCAUGCACCGAAGCUGCGGCAGCGAACGUAUCACUUAAAGCGAUUCAGCGGGUUACGAUUGA